RNAcentral lists this ribosomal RNA (505 nucleotides) under uncultured bacterium. Its description in RNAcentral is "partial 16S ribosomal RNA". It matches the Rfam family "Bacterial small subunit ribosomal RNA", at positions 28 to 507 of the family's 1533-position model. The record is from RNAcentral.
GACGAACGCUGGCGGCGUGCCUAAUACAUGCAAGUAGAACGCACAGUUUAUACCGUAGCUUGCUACACCAUAGACUGUGAGUUGCGAACGGGUGAGUAACGCGUAGGUAACCUGCCUGGUAGCGGGGGAUAACUAUUGGAAACGAUAGCUAAUACCGCAUAAUAUUGAUUAUUGCAUGAUAAUUAAUUGAAAGGUGCAAUUGCACCACUACCAGAUGGACCUGCGUUGUAUUAGCUAGUAGGUGAGGUAACGGCUCAACUAGGCGACGAUACAUAGCCGACCUGAGAGGGUGAUCGGCCAAACUGGGACUGGGACACGGCCCAGACUCCUACGGGAGGCAGCAGUAGGGAAUCUUCGGCAAUGGACGAAAGUCUGACCGAGCAACGCCGCGUGAGUGAAGAAGGUUGUCGGAUCGUAAAGCUCUGUUGUAAGAGAAGAACGGGUGUGAGAGUGGAAAGUUCACACUGUGACGGUAUCUUACCAGAAAGGGACGGCUAACUACGUG